This 869-nucleotide ribosomal RNA is filed under the name Oceanobacillus iheyensis. RNAcentral's name for it is "bacterial SSU rRNA". It matches the Rfam family "Bacterial small subunit ribosomal RNA", at positions 69 to 913 of the family's 1533-position model. Lineage: Bacteria; Bacillati; Bacillota; Bacilli; Caryophanales; Bacillaceae. The record is from RNAcentral.
AUCUGAUCCUUUUCGGAGGUGACGAUAAUGGAAUGAGCGGCGGACGGUGAGUAACACGUAGGCAACCUGCCUGUAAGACUGGGAUAACUCGUGGAAACGCGAGCUAAUACCGGAUAACACUUUUCAUCUCCUGAUGAGAAGUUGAAAGGCGGCUUUUGCUGUCACUUACAGAUGGGCCUGCGGCGCAUUAGCUAGUUGGUAAGGUAACGGCUUACCAAGGCGACGAUGCGUAGCCGACCUGAGAGGGUGAUCGGCCACACUGGGACUGAGACACGGCCCAGACUCCUACGGGAGGCAGCAGUAGGGAAUCUUCCGCAAUGGACGAAAGUCUGACGGAGCAACGCCGCGUGAGUGAUGAAGGUUUUCGGAUCGUAAAACUCUGUUGUUAGGGAAGAACAAGUGCCAUAGUAACUGAUGGCACCUUGACGGUACCUAACCAGAAAGCCACGGCUAACUACGUGCCAGCAGCCGCGGUAAUACGUAGGUGGCAAGCGUUGUCCGGAAUUAUUGGGCGUAAAGCGCUCGCAAGCGGUUCUUUAAGUCUGAUGUGAAAUCUUACGGCUCAACCGUAAACGUGCAUUGGAAACUGGAGGACUUGAGUGCAGAAGAGGAGAGUGGAAUUCCACGUGUAGCGGUGAAAUGCGUAGAGAUGUGUGAGGAACACCAGUGGGGAAGGCGACUCUCUGGUCUGUAACUGACGCUGAGGAGCGAAAGCGUGGGGAGCGAACUGGAUUAGAUACCCUGGUAGUCCACGCCGUAAACGAUGAGUUUUAGGUGUUAGGGGGUUUCCGCCCUUUAGUGCUGAAGUUAACGCAUUAAGCACUCCGCCUGGGGAGUACGGCCGCAAGGAUGAAACUCAAAAGAAUUGA